RNAcentral lists this transfer RNA (69 nucleotides) under Rattus norvegicus (Norway rat). It matches the Rfam family "tRNA". Rfam says of the family: Transfer RNA (tRNA) molecules are approximately 80 nucleotides in length. Their secondary structure includes four short double-helical elements and three loops (D, anti-codon, and T loops). Further hydrogen bonds mediate the characteristic L-shaped molecular structure. tRNAs have two regions of fundamental functional importance: the anti-codon, which is responsible for specific mRNA codon recognition, and the 3' end, to which the tRNAs corresponding amino acid is attached (by aminoacyl-tRNA synthetases). tRNAs cope with the degeneracy of the genetic code in two manners: having more than one tRNA (with a specific anti-codon) for a particular amino acid; and 'wobble' base-pairing, i.e. permitting non-standard base-pairing at the 3rd anti-codon position. The record is from Rfam by way of RNAcentral. Lineage: Eukaryota; Metazoa; Chordata; Mammalia; Rodentia; Muridae.
GGGGAUUUAGCUCAGUAGUAGAGCGCUUGCUUAGUAAGCAUAAGGCCCUGGGUUCAAUCCUCAGCUCCA